CCUACGGGUGGCAGCAGUGGGGAAUAUUGCACAAUGGGGGGAACCCUGAUGCAGCGACGCCGCGUGAGUGAAGAAGUAUUUCGGUAUGUAAAGCUCUAUCAGCAGGGAAGAAAAUGACGUUACCUGACUAAGAAGCCCCGGCUAACUACGUGACAGCAGCCGCGGUAAUACGUAGGGGGCCAGCGUUAUCCGGAUUUACUGGGUGUAAAGGGAGCGCAGACGGCUGUGCAAGUCUGGAGUGAAAGGCGGGGGCCCAACCCCCGGACUGCUGUGGAAACUGGCGCACUAGAGUGCGGGAGGGGUAAGCGGAAUUCGUAGUGGAGCGGUGAAAUGCGUAGAUAUUAGGAGGAACACCGGUGGCGAAGGCGGCUUACUGGACCGUAACUGACGUUGAGGCUCGAAGGCGUGGGGAGCAAACAGGAUUAGAUACCCUAGUAGUC
RNAcentral lists this ribosomal RNA (440 nucleotides) under uncultured bacterium. RNAcentral's name for it is "partial 16S ribosomal RNA". It matches the Rfam family "Bacterial small subunit ribosomal RNA", at positions 338 to 795 of the family's 1533-position model. The record is from RNAcentral.